RNAcentral lists this long non-coding RNA (346 nucleotides) under Chinchilla lanigera (long-tailed chinchilla). Its description in RNAcentral is "lncRNA (ENSCLAG00000024067.1)". Lineage: Eukaryota; Metazoa; Chordata; Mammalia; Rodentia; Chinchillidae. The record is from RNAcentral.
GAAAAAGAAGGCACUGAUUUAUCACAGUCUGAGAAAGGCUGCCGGAAAUUCAAUUAAGCACUGGAAAAAAAUGAUAUGGAGGACCCACACAAAAGUGAGUCUCAUUGCUCUCAAGGCAGUGUGCAGAAGUGAUCAGUCUCUGGAGAUCGUAAGACGUUGUACCGGGAGCUUAUACUUCAUGACCGUUGAUGCUGAAGUAAGGAGAAUUCGCAUCAUCACGACUCAGAAGGCAAAAUGGAAAGUACAAUCCCUUUCUUCUGCAAAAAUGAAAUGUUUCUUGCAGCUGGUGAGUGCUGGACCCAUGCUGUAUAUAACAGAGCUCAAUAAAUAUGUAUUGGAUUAUUGA